Molecule: ribosomal RNA, 463 nt
Filed under: uncultured bacterium
Lineage: Bacteria
Description: partial 16S ribosomal RNA
Rfam family: Bacterial small subunit ribosomal RNA
Source: RNAcentral
ACGAACGCUGGCGGCGUGCUUAACACAUGCAAGUCGAACGGAAAGGCCCUGCUUGCAGGGUACUCGAGUGGCGAACGGGUGAGUAACACGUGGGUGAUCUGCCCUGCACUUCGGGAUAAGCCUGGGAAACUGGGUCUAAUACCGGAUAGGAGCCAUCUUUAGUGUGAUGGUUGGAAAGUUUUUUCGGUGUAGGAUGAGCUCGCGGCCUAUCAGCUUGUUGGUGGGGUAAUGGCCUACCAAGGCGGCGACGGGUAGCCGGCCUGAGAGGGUGGACGGCCACAUUGGGACUGAGAUACGGCCCAGACUCCUACGGGAGGCAGCAGUGGGGAAUAUUGCACAAUGGGCGCAAGCCUGAUGCAGCGACGCCGCGUGGGGGAUGACGGCCUUCGGGUUGUAAACUCCUUUCGCUAGGGACGAAGCUUUUUGUGACGGUACCUAGAUAAGAAGCACCGGCUAACUACGU